ACUGUGACCCAAGAGGAGGUGGCCACUCAACGCUGAGGCCACACGGCUCCCUUCCUUAUGCAGGAAAGUCAAGCCAAUAGUCCCUGAAUGUUGCCAAGGAGACACACUGCACCACCAAGCCAAGCCAAGCAAGCCACAAUGCAACACAAGCCUUCUACAACACCUACAGCCAUCAGCAACACCCAGAGUACAAGACAACACCUGGAGUCAUGAAGAACAGUUAGGAUGGAUUAGCAGUUUGGAAUGUUUUUCUUUUAAGGACAUUUGAAGACAAGUUUGGCAUGUU
RNAcentral lists this long non-coding RNA (286 nucleotides) under Portunus trituberculatus (swimming crab). RNAcentral describes it as "uncharacterized LOC123502436". Lineage: Eukaryota; Metazoa; Arthropoda; Malacostraca; Decapoda; Portunidae. The record is from RNAcentral.